Molecule: ribosomal RNA, 450 nt
Filed under: uncultured bacterium
Lineage: Bacteria
Description: partial 16S ribosomal RNA
Rfam family: Bacterial small subunit ribosomal RNA
Source: RNAcentral
GUGGGGAAUUUUGGACAAUGGGCGAAAGCCUGAUCCAGCCAUGCCGCGUGCAGGAUGAAGGCCCUCGGGUUGUAAACUGCUUUUGUACGGAACGAAAAGCCUGGGGCUAAUAUCCCCGGGUCAUGACGGUACCGUAAGAAUAAGCACCGGCUAACUACGUGCCAGCAGCCGCGGUAAUACGUAGGGUGCAAGCGUUAAUCGGAAUUACUGGGCGUAAAGCGUGCGCAGGCGGUUUUGUAAGACAGUGGUGAAAUCCCCGGGCUCAACCUGGGAACUGCCAUUGUGACUGCAAGGCUAGAGUGCGGCAGAGGGGGAUGGAAUUCCGCGUGUAGCAGUGAAAUGCGUAGAUAUGCGGAGGAACACCGAUGGCGAAGGCAAUCCCCUGGGCCUGCACUGACGCUCAUGCACGAAAGCGUGGGGAGCAAACAGGAUUAGAAACCCGUGUAGUCC